AAUUAUGUAGCUUAAUUUAAAGCGUUAGAUUCUUACUCUAGUUAUGUUAUUAUUAACUGUAAUUA
Molecule: transfer RNA, 65 nt
Filed under: Benedenia hoshinai
Lineage: Eukaryota; Metazoa; Platyhelminthes; Monogenea; Capsalidea; Capsalidae
Description: tRNA-Lys
Rfam family: tRNA
About the family: Transfer RNA (tRNA) molecules are approximately 80 nucleotides in length. Their secondary structure includes four short double-helical elements and three loops (D, anti-codon, and T loops).
Source: RNAcentral